RNAcentral lists this long non-coding RNA (212 nucleotides) under Nicotiana benthamiana. RNAcentral describes it as "long non-coding RNA (NBEN_LNC028218)". Lineage: Eukaryota; Viridiplantae; Streptophyta; Magnoliopsida; Solanales; Solanaceae. The record is from RNAcentral.
CCUUAGAAUCUGGUCAUGUUCUAGUUGAGUAAUAGUUGUACUCAUAACUUAACUUACUGGUGUAUUUCUUUCUUCUAUUCAACCUGCUUUAUUUUCUUUAAGGAUCUAAUCUGAUGCUAUUAAUUUGAUUGAUUCAAAUCUAUUUUGAAUCCCUAGUCAUGUGUUUAGUAAAGACUUCUCAGUUUGGUGUAGUGUACAAUUGGAUUUGGUAU